RNAcentral lists this ribosomal RNA (450 nucleotides) under uncultured bacterium. Its description in RNAcentral is "partial 16S ribosomal RNA". It matches the Rfam family "Bacterial small subunit ribosomal RNA", at positions 354 to 796 of the family's 1533-position model. The record is from RNAcentral.
GUGGGGAAUUUUGGACAAUGGGCGCAAGCCUGAUCCAGCCAUGCCGCGUGCAGGAUGAAGGCCUUCGGGUUGUAAACUGCUUUUGUACGGAACGAAACGGCUCUUUCUAAUAAAGAGGGCUAAUGACGGUACCGUAAGAAUAAGCACCGGCUAACUACGUGCCAGCAGCCGCGGUAAUACGUAGGGUGCGAGCGUUAAUCGGAAUUACUGGGCGUAAAGCGUGCGCAGGCGGUGAUGUAAGACAGAUGUGAAAUCCCCGGGCUCAACCUGGGAACUGCAUUUGUGACUGCAUCGCUGGAGUGCGGCAGAGGGGGAUAGAAUUCCGCGUGUAGCAGUGAAAUGCGUAGAUAUGCGGAGGAACACCGAUGGCGAAGGCAAUCCCCUGGGCCUGCACUGACGCUCAUGCACGAAAGCGUGGGGAGCAAACAGGAUUAGAAACCCGUGUAGUCC